GCCCCACAUCGUGCUCUUGCAGUGUUCUCCCCGCAGGUGCUGCAUGGAGUGAGUGGCGGCAUCCACCGUGAGGAGGAGAGGAGCUCUGAUACCCUCAGGACCCGCCAGGAGGGGCAUCACGGAGGCUUCUGGACGACUUGGAGCUGUGUCCUGGGGAGAAAACCGCUCCUGUCUGGGCCCUGAGUGCUGAGGAGGAAGCUGCCAUGCACUUUUCCCUGGCAUUUUUCCUGCAUGGAGAGAGAGGUCCAAGGUGCCCUACAUCGUGCGUCAGUGCGUGGAGGAGAUCGAGCGCCGAGGCAUGGAGGAGGUGGGCAUCUACCGCAUGUCUGGGGUGGCCGCAGACAUCCAGGCACUGAAGGCAGGCUUCAACGUCAAUAACAAGGACGUGUCAGUGAUGAUGAGCGAGAUGGACGUGAACGCCAUCGCAGGCAUGCUGAAGCUGUACUUCCGUGAGCUGCCCGAGCCCCUCUUCACUGACGAGUUCUACCCCAACUUCGCAGAGGGCAUCGCUCUUUCAGACCCAGUUGCAAAGAAGAGCUGCAUGCUCAACCUGCUGUCGUCCCUGCCGGAGGCCAACCUGCUCACCUUCCUUUUCCUUCUAGACCACCUGGAAAGGAUGGCAGAGAAGGAGGCAGUCAAUAAGAUGUCCCUGCACAACCUUGGCACGGUGUUUGGCCCCACGCUGCUCCGGCCCUCCGAGAAGGAGAGCAAGCUCCCUGCCAACCCCAGCCAGCCCAUCACCAUGACUGACAGCUGGUCCUUGGAGGUCAUGUCCCAGGGUCCCAGGGCUGGUGGUUGCUUUGGGUCUACAGCUACGUCUUACCCGCCUCCUGCCUCAACAGCCUGUGUGGUGGCAAAGCCGGUGUGGGGCUGGGGAACGCAGCGUUCUCCAGGAGGGGGACCCGGCUCUCCUUCUGCAAUGCAGGCGAAGGCCUAGAUGCCAGUGUGACCUCCCACAAGGCGUGGCUUCCAGACUCCCCGGCCGGAAGUGAUGCUUUUUUGCCGUGGGCCCUGGGUUUGAAGCAGCCUGGCUUUCUCUUGGUAAGUGGCUGGUGUCUUAGCAGCUGCAAUCUGAGCUCAGCCACCUACACACCACCGUGGCCGACACUUUCAUUAAGAAGUUUCCUGAGACGA
RNAcentral lists this long non-coding RNA (1134 nucleotides) under Homo sapiens (human). RNAcentral's name for it is "novel transcript". The record is from RNAcentral. Lineage: Eukaryota; Metazoa; Chordata; Mammalia; Primates; Hominidae.